GGAUUGACAAUGGCAGGACCAAAUUUCACCACCAAUGCUCCAAGGCCCUCCCAAUGGAUAUAAAGGAGAUGGUGGUGGUGGGACUGCUUGUUUGGUGGCGGAUCCGCUGGUUUCUUGGGCGGUCGAUCUGGCACGGCGGCGCAACAAAGAGCGAGAAACAUUCGCGAGUGAGAAGGUGAAACAUCGAUGUUGUUAUGGCGGGCGCUGGUUUUUCAUCUCAAAAUUGAGAGAGAAGAAUCUACAAAUUUGGGUGGGAAAGAGAAUGAUGAAAG
This 272-nucleotide long non-coding RNA is filed under the name Erythranthe guttata (spotted monkey flower). Its description in RNAcentral is "long non-coding RNA (EGUT_LNC001263)". The record is from RNAcentral. Lineage: Eukaryota; Viridiplantae; Streptophyta; Magnoliopsida; Lamiales; Phrymaceae.